Molecule: non-coding RNA, 1195 nt
Organism: Dermatophagoides farinae (American house dust mite)
Lineage: Eukaryota; Metazoa; Arthropoda; Arachnida; Sarcoptiformes; Pyroglyphidae
Source: RefSeq, a predicted model, not a curated record
GUCGCAGUCUAUAUUUUACACAUUAUCAUCAUACAUUUUUUUAAUGUAUCAUCAUUAAUCGAAUAAAAAACGCUUUGCCGUCGUUAGCAGCAGCAUUGAUAUUCGUAAUUGAAAAAAGAAAACUUGUAUCUUUUUUUCUGCACAUAAUAUAAAUAAAAAAUUGUAGCAGUCAACUGGCUGCGCAUGCUCCUGCCUAUUGCCACCUCUUCCUAUUUCGACCGAGAAUGGCGGUGAGAGAAACAGGAUGUUUCCAACUGCAAAUUCCGAGUCCGAGCAACACAAUUGAACACACGCUGACACAGACACAUACUAGUGAUUUGGAGUCAAAAUAAAAUUUCGUUUUUCACACCGUUAAUGCGACAAAAUAUUAUUUCAUUUUGAAUCCAGAAAUUAGUUGGCCAUUCGAUUCGAAAAUCAACGAUUUUGUUAAAUUUUUCAUUCAAAUUCCAUUUAAUUCUUUGUUGUGUUCGAGUGCGGUUAUUUAAUUGACGCAUUGAAUCCGUGUUUUUAAUAAAACCAAAUUAUAUGACGUCUUUAUUGGAAAUUAGUUUCGUCGCAAACAUAAUCCAACACGAGUGGAAGAAAUACGAAUUGGAUUUUAGACAUUCAAAAAUAUCAUCGUUUAUGCCCGAGCGAUUAUUUUGGUUUUCUAAGCAUUGCAUUAGAAGUCGGAAAAAAUAUACUUGAUCCUUACACAUCAUACACCUGAAUAUUCCCAAUAUAUACACAGGGAAUAAAGUGAGCAGGGUAAACUGCAAGAUUGAGUGUAUACUUGCAGGUUAUUUAGCAGGCUAAACUGCAAAGUUACAUAUUAACCUCCAUCAAAGAAUGCAUAUUUAUUUUAUCAGGUUAUGGGCUCACACGACUCAACGCCCUGAUACAUUAAAAAAAAUGUAUGAUGAUAAUGUGUAAAAUAUAGACUGCGACUGCCGACUUCUUUUUUUAUUCAUUCGAUCAAAUAAAUCUAUAUAUAAAUUAACGCCCAAAUUCCACAACAUAUUGCAUUAUUGGGAAGAUGCAUUGGAAUUUGGACCAAAUUAUCGUCACUCUUCGUAUAAAUACGAACGAUUCCAUCAAUUGAACAAACGUUCAAUUUCGACAUCAAAGAAUAUGAAAAAUCCAUCUUAUUCGAUGGUGAAUUUCAUUCAGAAAAAGAUAGCCUUGACACUCUUUAAAGAAAAUUCUUUAGAGCAAA